RNAcentral lists this ribosomal RNA (1102 nucleotides) under Nesterenkonia sp. RNAcentral describes it as "bacterial SSU rRNA". It matches the Rfam family "Bacterial small subunit ribosomal RNA", at positions 381 to 1489 of the family's 1533-position model. The record is from RNAcentral. Lineage: Bacteria; Bacillati; Actinomycetota; Actinomycetes; Micrococcales; Micrococcaceae.
GCCUGAUGCAGCGACGCCGCGUGCGGGAUGACGGCCUUCGGGUUGUAAACCGCUUUCAGCAGGGAAGAAGCUUUUUGUGACGGUACCUGCAGAAGAAGCGCCGGCUAACUACGUGCCAGCAGCCGCGGUAAUACGUAGGGCGCGAGCGUUAUCCGGAAUUAUUGGGCGUAAAGGGCUCGCAGGCGGUUUGCCACGUCUGCUGUGAAAGCCCGGGGCUUAACUCCGGGUGUGCAGUGGGUACGGGUAGACUAGAGUGCAGUAGGGGAGACUGGAAUUCCUGGUGUAGCGGUGAAAUGCGCAGAUAUCAGGAAGAACACCGAUGGCGAAGGCAGGUCUCUGGGCUGUUACUGACGCUGAGGAGCGAAAGCAUGGGGAGCGAACAGGAUUAGAUACCCUGGUAGUCCAUGCCGUAAACGUUGGGCACUAGGUGUGGGGAACAUUCCACGUUUUCCGCGCCGUAGCUAACGCAUUAAGUGCCCCGCCUGGGGAGUACGGCCGCAAGGCUAAAACUCAAAGGAAUUGACGGGGGCCCGCACAAGCGGCGGAGCAUGCGGAUUAAUUCGAUGCAACGCGAAGAACCUUACCAAGGCUUGACAUGGACCGGAUCGCUGCAGAGAUGUAGUUUCCCUUCGGGGCUGGUUCACAGGUGGUGCAUGGUUGUCGUCAGCUCGUGUCGUGAGAUGUUGGGUUAAGUCCCGCAACGAGCGCAACCCUUGUCCUAUGUUGCCAGCACGUAGUGGUGGGGACUCAUGGGAGACUGCCGGGGUCAACUCGGAGGAAGGUGGGGAUGACGUCAAAUCAUCAUGCCCCUUAUGUCUUGGGCUUCACGCAUGCUACAAUGGCCGGUACAGUGGGUUGCGAUACUGUGAGGUGGAGCUAAUCCCUAAAAGCCGGUCUCAGUUCGGAUCGAAGUCUGCAACUCGACUUCGUGAAGUUGGAGUCGCUAGUAAUCGCAGAUCAGCAAUGCUGCGGUGAAUACGUUCCCGGGCCUUGUACACACCGCCCGUCAAGUCACGAAAGUCGGUAACACCCGAAGCUCACGGCCCAACCCCUUGUGGGAGGGAGUGGUCGAAGGUGGGACCGGCGAUUGGGACUAAGUCGU